This 540-nucleotide ribosomal RNA is filed under the name uncultured bacterium. RNAcentral describes it as "bacterial SSU rRNA". It matches the Rfam family "Bacterial small subunit ribosomal RNA", at positions 777 to 1315 of the family's 1533-position model. The record is from RNAcentral.
AAUAGAUACCCGGGUAGUCCACCCCGUAAACGUUGGGAACUAGUUGUGGGGUCCAUUCCACGGAUUCCGUGACGCAGCUAACGCAUUAAGUUCCCCGCCUGGGGAGUACGGCCGCAAGGCUAAAAACUCAAAGGAAUUGACGGGGACCCGCACAAGCGGCGGAGCAUGCGGAUUAAUUCGAUGCAACGCGAAGAACCUUACCAAGGCUUGACAUACACGAGAACGGGCCAGAAAUGGUCAACUCUUUGGACACUCGUGAACAGGUGGUGCAUGGUUGUCGUCAGCUCGUGUCGUGAGAUGUUGGGUUAAGUCCCGCAACGAGCGCAACCCUCGUUCUAUGUUGCCAGCACGUAAUGGUGGGAACUCAUGGGAUACUGCCGGGGUCAACUCGGAGGAAGGUGGGGAUGACGUCAAAUCAUCAUGCCCCUUAUGUCUUGGGCUUCACGCAUGCUACAAUGGCCGGUACAAAGGGCUGCAAUACCGUGAGGUGGAGCGAAUCCCAAAAAGCCGGUCCAGUUCGGAUUGAGGUCUGCAACUCGA